UCAACAAGCUACCGAAAUCGAUAAACUCUUCCUCCCAUACUUUACCCUUGAGUUUCGUGGAAACCCACGAGUCAAUAGCCAAACCGGCCGAGUAAAACAAUUGAGUAGAUUCAAAAAAACUCGCAGUAUUAGGAUAAAUAAUAUUAGGCAAUAACUGUAGCUCACCCGGCAAGGCAUGCAGUCAUGGCAGUUUCUUCUGGAGAUGCCACUUGACUGGGAACUGGAAAAAUCGUAGCCAUUUUGCUGGUCACUUCAGCAGCCACAGUGUUCACCAGACUCUGAAAGAUCUCGUGCGACAGAAUAUUACCUGAGGACGGGGCUGUAGGAUUUGCUGUUGCUGGUGUGGCAAAUGGCGAUAGUUCAACUACUGGGACAGUAUUCUGUGUCGCUCUGGUGCCGCCAAAACUAUGAUGCCAAGACCGACGACCCCUUGUAGUUGUUGCAGCUUGUUUCCGUUGUUGCUUACGUGGUGGCAUAC
This is a non-coding RNA of Paramuricea clavata, 478 nucleotides long. The record is from the annotation of a GenBank genome assembly. NCBI's taxonomy places the organism in Eukaryota, Metazoa, Cnidaria, Anthozoa, Malacalcyonacea, Plexauridae.